RNAcentral lists this long non-coding RNA (623 nucleotides) under Mytilus galloprovincialis (Mediterranean mussel). The record is from RNAcentral. Lineage: Eukaryota; Metazoa; Mollusca; Bivalvia; Mytilida; Mytilidae.
CAAUCUUUUUGGGGGCAAAAUGUCACAUAUUGCAAAUUUAGAGCCUAAAACUUGAGUUUGUCCUAUUUUUAGCUUUUCCCAUCCUGACAAUAUGCUUUUAUAUCAAAAAUGUCCUAAAUAAUGUUAUAAAUGCACAGAAAGUUAUUCUGUGGUGUUAAACAUUGAAACAUAAGUUGUUUACUACCCCCAAAAAAAUUUUGUCAUGCAGAUUUAAUGAAAUUAUUUGAUUUUUACUCCUUAUAGCAUUGCGUCAUACUAUGUACUUGGCAGAUAGCAUAGCCUAAUGUAAGCACUGCAGAAACUCACAAAAGCACCAUUUAUUAUUCCAAAUGAAAUUUUUAUAUCUUAAAUUUUAUUAACUGAUGUAAAUAAACACAGUUAAAUGACCAUGACUGCAUUUUGAUCAAUUUGUGGUACUUUACUGACACCAGAUGAAAAAAAGGGGGGUCAAUAUUCCUUGACACUUCAAUACCUUGGAUUUUUUACUAAAUUCAUUGCAAAAAUUGCUGGAAGUCUUUAAAGAAGUAGAACAAACAAGAAAAAAUCAGCAAACAAUGAUCUUGAUAUUGAAAGUUUAUGUUCCUGUAGCCCAAAAUGAAUAUUUCAAGUAUUUUCUAUCAAAG